RNAcentral lists this ribosomal RNA (212 nucleotides) under uncultured bacterium. RNAcentral describes it as "partial 16S ribosomal RNA". It matches the Rfam family "Bacterial small subunit ribosomal RNA", at positions 1289 to 1500 of the family's 1533-position model. The record is from RNAcentral.
CAGUUCAGACUGCAGGCNGCAACUCGCCUGCACGAAGUCGGAAUUGCUAGUAAUCGUAGGUCAGCAUACUACGGUGAAUACGUUCCCGGGCCUUGUACACACCGCCCGUCAAACCAUGAGAGUUGGCAACACCCGAAGUCGGUAGUCUAACCGCAAGGAGGACGCCGCCGAAGGUAGGAUUGGCGACUGGGGUGAAGUCGUAACAAGGUAGC